GGAGGAGUGGCAGAGUGGUUGAAUGCACCGGUCUUGAAAACCGACGUAGGUCAAAAGCCUACCGUGGGUUCGAAUCCCACCUCCUCCGCCA
This 91-nucleotide transfer RNA is filed under the name Albidovulum aquaemixtae. RNAcentral describes it as "Defluviimonas aquaemixtae tRNA-Ser". It matches the Rfam family "tRNA". From Rfam's summary of the family: Transfer RNA (tRNA) molecules are approximately 80 nucleotides in length. Their secondary structure includes four short double-helical elements and three loops (D, anti-codon, and T loops). The record is from RNAcentral. Lineage: Bacteria; Pseudomonadati; Pseudomonadota; Alphaproteobacteria; Rhodobacterales; Paracoccaceae.